UGGUGGAAGAAAGUAGGAAUUUUAUUUUUGCACAGUGCUGAGCAAGGAGAGAGGGCAGCUAACACUGAAAUCCCAAACUCCCCGAAAAGCUAAAAGGAAGGAUUUUAUUUGGGGUUUUAGGGAGGGGAGGGGGAGCAUAUGGCUUUGCUGGUUGGAGCUUUCCCACCAGCCCAUCUUUGGCCUUGAGACACUUACAGAGAGGAGAGAGCUUGUGACCUUGGCUAGUCAGCAGCUUUCCCACCAGCCCAUAUCUCUUUGCGGGAGGAGAUAGUCCAGGUGCUUGUCCAUGACAGUGUUUGUCUCCAUGGAGGAUAGUGGAUUCUGGAGCCAGGAAGCCAGAGAGUCAGCAGGGAAUGAGUGUUUUGGUUUAACCCCAUAUAUGCUGGGUUUAAUGUGGGGAAACUGAUAUCAGGGUCGAUAUCAACUCCCCCUAUUUUAUGUCCAUCCCUCAAUCUUGAGGGAUUUGGGGUGGCGACUGGUCUAGCUACUUCCUGCUGAAAUGGGUGUAGGUUGUCUCAUCUCAUUGAACCAGUCUUUUAAUAAGGCAAUGAUGCUGGUGGGCUCCUGAAGGUAGGCCUGUAUCAUGUAAGUAAGCAACCAGGUAUUUAAUAAGAGAAACAAAAAGAGAAAAACAAGGUUAAUGGUUGGAGAAAAUUAUAAACCAGUUUCUGAGCCCAGGGGGCAGCCAAUCAAGAUUCCUAGAAGUCAGGGUUGAAGCAUCUUUUGCAGUUUGAAAUGUCUCUGAUGGUGUCAUCCAGCUUUCAGGUAGCUCUUUGAGUGGCUUACACAGCAGUAGACAUGAAUCUCUCUUAAGUUUAUAUUGGGUCUUCCAGCUUCAGUUUGUAAGGCUUUAGGAAAAAGGGCAGAUUUAGUUUUCAAUGACUCCAAAUGAAAAUAAUGGGAAAAAACCCUGAAAAUGUUAGUUUGGAGGUUUUUAGCCAGGUAUUUCAGGAGAUGAAGAAUUCAAGAUCCAGUCCAGAUAACAGAAGUAAAACAAAAAUUUCAAACAGAAUUGAAAAACUAAAAUUCAAUAUUUAUAAACAUGUAUUAUAGUUUCUAUUGAAACAUAAUCUUCCUCCCUAGAAUCACCCUCAAUUUCACUAGACAUAGCCAAAUUAAGACUAACUGGUUUGCAAAAUAAGUCUAGUUUUAAUAAAUUUGGCAUAAUUAUUUACAUAAGUACAGCAAGAAUAGUAAUUGAUCAUAUAGGCUCUUUCACAUCUGCUUUGCUGGAACCUUAUAAGGAAUCUCAGUUUGAUCUUUAAAGGCCUCUCAAGGAAAGCCAAGCAAAGGACCUGUUAUCACAUUCUGCCUGCAGUACCUACAGAUUUGGGUGAAUUCUUCUCUUCGUGAGCUCCCCCAAAAUAUUCCUUGUACCUGCCAGAGGGAGCGACAUUCUUUGCUCAAAAGUACCAGGUUACAGAACCCAUAAACAUAGUACCAGGCCAAUAUUUCCAAUCAAAGUCUUGGUAAUAGAACCAGUGUUUCCAAUUGUGUCCUGU
Molecule: long non-coding RNA, 1502 nt
Filed under: Equus caballus (horse)
Lineage: Eukaryota; Metazoa; Chordata; Mammalia; Perissodactyla; Equidae
Description: lncRNA (ENSECAG00000056356.1)
Source: RNAcentral